ACGAACGCUGGCGGCAGGCCUCACACAUGCAAGUCGAGCGAGGACUUCGGUUCUAGCGGCGGACGGGUGAGUAACGCGUGGGAAUGUGCCCUUCUCUACGGAAUAGCCCUGGGAAACUGGGAGUAAUACCGUAUACGCCCUAUUGGGGAAAGAUUUAUCGGAGAAGGAUCAGCCCGCGUUGGAUUAGGUAGUUGGUGGGGUAAUGGCCUACCAAGCCGACGAUCCAUAGCUGGGUUGAGAGGAUGAUCAGCCACACUGGGACUGAGACACGGCCCAGACUCCUACGGGAGGCAGCAGUGGGGAAUCUUAGACAAUGGGGGCAACCCUGAUCUAGCCAUGCCGCGUGAGUGAUGAAGGCCUUAGGGUUGUAAAGCUCUUUCAGCUGGGAAGAUAAUGACGGUACCAGCAGAAGAAGCCCCGGCUAACUCCGUG
Molecule: ribosomal RNA, 432 nt
Filed under: uncultured bacterium
Lineage: Bacteria
Description: partial 16S ribosomal RNA
Rfam family: Bacterial small subunit ribosomal RNA
Source: RNAcentral